Molecule: ribosomal RNA, 634 nt
Filed under: uncultured Pseudomonas sp.
Lineage: Bacteria; Pseudomonadati; Pseudomonadota; Gammaproteobacteria; Pseudomonadales; Pseudomonadaceae
Description: bacterial SSU rRNA
Rfam family: Bacterial small subunit ribosomal RNA
Source: RNAcentral
AUUGAACGCUGGCGGCAGGCCUAACACAUGCAAGUCGAGCGGAUGAAGGGAGCUUGCUCCUGGAUUCAGCGGCGGACGGGUGAGUAAUGCCUAGGAAUCUGCCUGGUAGUGGGGGAUAACGUCCGGAAACGGGCGCUAAUACCGCAUACGUCCUGAGGGAGAAAGUGGGGGAUCUUCGGACCUCACGCUAUCAGAUGAGCCUAGGUCGGAUUAGCUAGUUGGUGGGGUAAAGGCCCACCAAGGCGACGAUCCGUAACUGGUCUGAGAGGAUGAUCAGUCACACUGGAACUGAGACACGGUCCAGACUCCUACGGGAGGCAGCAGUGGGGAAUAUUGGACAAUGGGCGAAAGCCUGAUCCAGCCAUGCCGCGUGUGUGAAGAAGGUCUUCGGAUUGUAAAGCACUUUAAGUUGGGAGGAAGGGCAGUAAGUUAAUACCUUGCUGUUUUGACGUUACCAACAGAAUAAGCACCGGCUAACUUCGUGCCAGCAGCCGCGGUAAUACGAAGGGUGCAAGCGUUAAUCCGAAUUACUGAGGCGUAAAGCGCGCGUAGGUGGUUCAACAAUUUGGAUGUGAAAUCCCCCGGGCUCAAACCUGCGAACUGCCUCCCAAAAUACUGAUCUAGAAUCUCGGCA